UUCAGGUCCUCCACUCGACGACCUUGAAAAUGUUGUCCCACAACGGGGUGAGAUAUCAUCUUAGCGAGUCUAAGCUCUAAACCCCCAAUUAGGAGGGAAAUACGCCAAGAAGCGUCCUAAGCACACAAUCACACAAUCAAGAGACUUACCUCAUCUCAGACCCACCCUGCAGGUCAGUACAAUUUAUCUCACAAACAACAUGAGAGCAUGAGCAACAAAUAAGCUCCAAUAACUGAAACGCCACACUCAAUUAAUCAUGCGUUCUUAGUUUUGAUCUCGGCAUAUAGCACGGCCUACUCUCAGUUCGGCGGUCUUCUGGCAUUGCCAGGCUUUGUCUCACCCCAUUGAGCACGGCACGUCUCUUUAUUAGACGGCUUUCCCGAAGGAGCAUAGGGUCCAGAAUCAACUGCGACCGGCUUCCCGUUGUCCAGGGGGUAUCCCACAUUGGGAUAACGUCCAGCUCAACAGCCCGGGACGAUUUCUCAUAACCAUCACACGAUCACUCAAAUAUGGCCCAGGACACCGUGCAUUGCACUCAAAUGCUUCAAUUAAAAUGGUGAGCCUGGCCUUUUUCUUCGUAUUAGAAAUUCACAUGAAAUUACUCGUGUGUGGGUACACGGUCAACUUGAUCCAGAAAAAUUGAUAUUCCUCCUUUUUGAAAUCCCACUAUUUCAUAUAGUACUAAAAACCAUUUUCGGUAUCAAAACCCGACACCUGGGAUUUUAUGAAUAAAUAUUGGAAAUUCACAAUUUUGGAAUUAAAUACCAAAAAUCCAAUCAGCACCCAAUUUGCAUAACUUAGCACUCAAUUGCAGAAAUUAACCACACCAUUGCAAUCAGCACGAAAUUCCGGUCACUGGCUAUCCCGGUCUAAUUUCCGGAAAAAUAAUUAAUAAUUAAAUAAUUACUGAAAUCAAUUAAAUAAAUCAAUUUAAAUUCUACAAAUAAUAACCUAGGCCAAAAUCAUUGAAUUAAUAACCAAUACGGACUCGGAGAAAUUCCCGAACCCUUCUAGAUAAACAGUACAAUUUAUUUAGGCCUUAGCUAAACCAUGCUAACCACCUAACAUGUUGAAUUAAAUAAUUACAUUUCUAAUUUAAUCUAACUAACCACCUAAUUCCUAAUAAAAUAAAUCUAAACACCCCUUAAACGUCAUUAACCUACUAAGCAGAGUUUAGAGUAUAAACUCACCGGUGUAUCGCGAAAAACCGGUUCACCGCGACAACGACUCAACGGCGGCCGAAAUCGGGCUUUCGACAACACCGGCGGACUUGGACCGGGCCUUGACCUUGGCCCAAAAAAUCUCAGCCCAAAUGAGAUUUGUUCUUGCACUGGAAUGGGCUUGCUCUUGGACUUGGGCCUAGCUGCGAUUGGGCUUCAAAAACUGGGCUUGAAGGCUACAAUUGCUGAAAAUAGGCUGGGCCCAAAGCUGAAACUAAAACUUGCUGGGCUUCAUUGGAUUGGGCUUCAAGAGGGCUGAACAAUUUGCUGGCCUUGCUGGGCUUUGGAGCUAAAUUUGCUGGGCCUAACUUGUGGCCCAAAAGAAAUUCACUAGGCUGGAAUUUGCGUGGACUUCAAGUGGUCCAGCUGCUGGGCCGAACAAGGGAAUCCGCAAGAGACGCUGGGCUGCUGGAUCCGUGGUUUCGUUCUUCACGCUAACUGAACGAAAGAAAUGGCGAGGGCUUUUGCGGUCAACCAAGCAGCUUCGGUUGCUGCCGCUGUUGACCGAGCCAAGAGCAGACUCGGACGCGUGGAGACUUCCUCCUUCGGUGGUGCUGGCGAGCUGGAGAGAGGGUGCGGCUUCAGCUGAAGACGUGAGUUGAGGAAGACGCGGCAGGAUUCGCUGGGAACGUAGACUGCUGUGGGCGGAACAUGAAGUCACGCUGGUGGAGGCCACGCGUUGAGAAGAAACGGACGAUAGCAGGAGCUUCAACGAUGCUGGAGCGGCAGACACGGUGGAGUCUUCGGUCAGCAAGGCUUCACGAAAAUUGAAGCCGCGUGGAGCUCGAGUCUUUGUGGGCAGAAGGCGCAAGAAGAUAGUGGAGAAACAGGCGGUCUUGACUUCGUGCGGUGAGGAUCUUCAGUCAACGACGGGGCUUCUUCUGGUUUCGUUGUUGACCGAGCGUGAGCUGGCUGAAGACACGAAGCGGUGGAGAAUUCGGCGGAUGCUGAGCUUCUCGGGCAGUUUGGUGGACGCUCGGCAGAAGACACGGAUGGAGAAGCAGCGUCAGUUUCUCUCUUCCGCUGGCUGAGGUCGUCCAAUGGAGCGGUAGAGGGGAGAGAGAGAUGGAUAAGAGUGAGAAGUGAGGGCUCCACAAAGCCUUGAUUUUUCACAACAAAUAUCUUUCAAGGCUAUCCUAAGCCAAGUAUAAUCCCAUGGCCUCCAAUGAUCCACCAAGACCCUCUCCAAGACUUUCCAAUUGGUCCAAAAUGGCUAGGAGGGAGGGGGCUAC
RNAcentral lists this long non-coding RNA (2452 nucleotides) under Eucalyptus grandis. RNAcentral's name for it is "long non-coding RNA (EGRA_LNC006897)". Lineage: Eukaryota; Viridiplantae; Streptophyta; Magnoliopsida; Myrtales; Myrtaceae. The record is from RNAcentral.